Molecule: ribosomal RNA, 253 nt
Filed under: uncultured bacterium
Lineage: Bacteria
Description: partial 16S ribosomal RNA
Rfam family: Bacterial small subunit ribosomal RNA
Source: RNAcentral
UACGUAGGGGGCAAGCGUUGUCCGGAUUUAUUGGGCGUAAAGAGCGUGUAGGCGGCCAGAUAGGUCUGUUGUGAAAACUCGAGGCUCAACCUCGAGACGCCGAUGGAAACCAUCUGGCUAGAGUCCGGAAGAGGAGAAUGGAAUUCCUGGUGUAGCGGUGAAAUGCGCAGAUAUCAGGAGGAACACCGGUGGCGAAGGCGGGUCUCUGGGCCGAUACUGACGCUGAGGAGCGAAAGCGUGGGGAGCGAACAGG